RNAcentral lists this ribosomal RNA (289 nucleotides) under Klebsiella pneumoniae. RNAcentral describes it as "partial 16S ribosomal RNA". It matches the Rfam family "Bacterial small subunit ribosomal RNA", at positions 46 to 331 of the family's 1533-position model. The record is from RNAcentral. Lineage: Bacteria; Pseudomonadati; Pseudomonadota; Gammaproteobacteria; Enterobacterales; Enterobacteriaceae.
AGGCCUAACACAUGCAAGUCGAGCGGUAGCACAGAGAGCUUGCUCUCGGGUGACGAGCGGCGGACGGGUGAGUAAUGUCUGGGAAACUGCCUGAUGGAGGGGGAUAACUACUGGAAACGGUAGCUAAUACCGCAUAACGUCGCAAGACCAAAGUGGGGGACCUUCGGGCCUCAUGCCAUCAGAUGUGCCCAGAUGGGAUUAGCUGGUAGGUGGGGUAACGGCUCACCUAGGCGACGAUCCCUAGCUGGUCUGAGAGGAUGACCAGCCACACUGGAACUGAGACACGGUC